CAUAAUAUCGUUUUCACUGCAUGCGGCAGUAUCGGUUUGCCAUACAAUUUGAUUUAAUUAUUUUUAUACCUUCGAUGCAAGAUUGACCUUUACUGUCCAUUUUUCCAAAGUACAGAAUACAUAAGUGGACAGACCUUGCUUGACAGAAGCAAAGUGUCCUUGCUGCAGGCCGAGUCUAGAAUUUCGUGUUAUUUUCAUGAUCCGCAAAAUCGAGUUCACGCGAAGCUCUGAAGUCCUUAUAAAAGCAUCAGCUCUGAAAAUAUGGAUCAUUAUUGGAAUAAGACUUGAACGUGCUUUGAGCUUGGAUUAAAACUAGAGGAGAAAUUGGUUAGACUUCAUGGGUCCGCUGCAACACGUGUUUUGGAUAGUCUGUGUGGUGUUAAGUUUAAACCUCUGUCUAGCAUUUCCAAUGUGGUAUGGUCGUCCGAUCUUCAUGGGAGGUUAUCGACGUAAUGGAAACUGGUGGGAAAAUUAUGACGGAGACGGGGAAUUCUUCAAUGGUAGGGGGAUCACUGGGCCACACACAUUGGAUGAAAUAGAUAAAACUGACUUCUUGUGGUAACGCGAUAUUUCCGUUGCUAUGGUUGCAUUAUUCUUUUGUGAAAGUGUCGUGAUUA
This is a long non-coding RNA of Mercenaria mercenaria, 617 nucleotides long. RefSeq lists it as uncharacterized. The transcript is spliced from 3 exons. The record is from RefSeq and is a predicted model, not a curated record. Lineage: Eukaryota; Metazoa; Mollusca; Bivalvia; Venerida; Veneridae.